UACAGAGGUGGCAAGCGUUGUUCGGAAUUACUGGGCGUAAAGGGCGCGUAGGCGGCCUUCUAAGUCAGGCGUGAAAUCCCCCGGCUUAACCUGGGAACUGCGUCUGAUACUGGGAGGCUUGAGUAUGGGAGAGGGAUGUAGAAUUCCAGGUGUAGCGGUGAAAUGCGUAGAUAUCUGGAGGAAUACCGGUGGCGAAGGCGGCAUCCUGGACCAUAACUGACGCUGAGGCGCGAAAGCUAGGGGAGCAAACGGG
Molecule: ribosomal RNA, 253 nt
Filed under: uncultured bacterium
Lineage: Bacteria
Description: partial 16S ribosomal RNA
Rfam family: Bacterial small subunit ribosomal RNA
Source: RNAcentral